GAUGAACGCUGGCGGCGUGCUUAACACAUGCAAGUCGAACGGAAAGGCCCAAGCUUGCUUGGGUACUCGAGUGGCGAACGGGUGAGUAACACGUGGGUGAUCUGCCCUGCACUUCGGGAUAAGCCUGGGAAACUGGGUCUAAUACCGGAUAGGACCACUUCUUGGAUGUUGUGGUGGACAGUUUUUUCGGUGUGGGAUGAGCUCGCGGCCUAUCAGCUUGUUGGUGGGGUAAUGGCCUACCAAGGCGUCGACGGGUAGCCGGCCUGAGAGGGUGUACGGCCACAUUGGGACUGAGAUACGGCCCAGACUCCUACGGGAGGCAGCAGUGGGGAAUAUUGCACAAUGGGCGCAAGCCUGAUGCAGCGACGCCGCGUGGGGGAUGACGGCCUUCGGGUUGUAAACUCCUUUCGCUAGGGACGAAGCGUUUUGUGACGGUACCUGGAGAAGAAGCACCGGCUAACUACGUG
Molecule: ribosomal RNA, 467 nt
Filed under: uncultured bacterium
Lineage: Bacteria
Description: partial 16S ribosomal RNA
Rfam family: Bacterial small subunit ribosomal RNA
Source: RNAcentral